RNAcentral lists this ribosomal RNA (433 nucleotides) under uncultured bacterium. RNAcentral describes it as "partial 16S ribosomal RNA". It matches the Rfam family "Bacterial small subunit ribosomal RNA", at positions 29 to 507 of the family's 1533-position model. The record is from RNAcentral.
AACGAACGCUGGCGGCAUGCCUAACACAUGCAAGUCGAACGAGAACUUCGGGUCUAGUGGCGCACGGGUGCGUAACGCGUGGGAACCUGCCCUUUGGUUCGGAAUAACUCCCCGAAAGGGGUGCUAAUACCGGAUAAUGUCUUCGGACGAAAGAUUUAUCGCCGUAGGAUCGGCCCGCGUUGGAUUAGCUAGUUGGUAGGGUAAAAGCCUACCAAGGCGACGAUCCAUAGCUGGUCUGAGAGGAUGAUCAGCCACACUGGGACUGAGACACGGCCCAGACUCCUACGGGAGGCAGCAGUGGGGAAUAUUGGACAAUGGGCGAAAGCCUGAUCCAGCCAUGCCGCGUGAGUGAUGAAGGCCUUAGGGUUGUAAAGCUCUUUUAGCCGGGAUGAUAAUGACAGUACCGGGAGAAUAAGCUCCGGCUAACUCCGUG